Oncorhynchus tshawytscha (Chinook salmon) is the source of this 553-nucleotide long non-coding RNA. NCBI's taxonomy places the organism in Eukaryota, Metazoa, Chordata, Actinopteri, Salmoniformes, Salmonidae. The record is from Ensembl.
GCAGGGCAGGAUGGAUAUAGGUCUGUAGCAGUUUGGGUCUAGAGGCAGGGCAGGAUGGAUAUAGGUCUGUAACAGUUUGGGUCUAGAGGCAGGGCAGGAUGGAUAUAGGUCUGUAACAGUUUGGGUCUAGAGGCAGGGCAGGAUGGAUAUAGGUCUGUAACAGUUUGGGUCUAGAGGCAGGGCAGGAUGGAUAUAGGUCUGUAACAGUUUGGGUCUAGAGGCAGGGCAGGAUGGAUAUAGGUCUGUAGCAGUUUGGGUCUAGAGGCAGGGCAGGAUGGAUAUAGUUCUGUAACAGUUUGGGUCUAGAGGCAGGGCAGGAUGGAUAUAGGUCUGUAACAGUUUGGGUCUAGAGGCAGGGCAGGAUGGAUAUAGGUCUGUAACAGUUUGGGUCUAGAGGCAGGGCAGGAUGGAUAUAGGUCUGUAACAGUUUGGGUCUAGAGGCAGUGCAGGAUGGAUAUAGGUCUGUAACAGUUUGGGUCUAGAGGCAGGGCAGGAUGGAUAUAGGUCUGUAACAGUUUGGGUCUAGAGGCAGGGCAGGAUGGAUAUAGGUCUG